AACUCUUGGUAGCCUCACAUAAUCCGAAAUUCCCAAAAAAAGGAGCAACUAACUUCCAAUAUGCAUAUGCCAAACACACCUAUGCAAGAACAUGGCCUUCUUCUUGUGCAAGUGCAGGAAGAAAAGAAGUGAUCUUUUUUAUGUAUUUCUUUUUAACAAAGAAUUUCAUUAAAGCCUUUUUAUAAGGAAAUGCCUUGGGCCAUUUGUUUUAUACAUAUCAUCAUCUGAUGCCAUAUUGCUUUGCUCGUCGGAAUCCAUCCACAAAGAUGCACAUAAUUUCGAGACGAGAAUUGCAGCAUCAGUAGCAUAUUAGUAUCAAUAUGUUUGCGCCGUCAAGAAAUUGCACUAUUUCAUAAAGAAGCUUACGCCACAGAUUCCAGAGAUUGAUCCGGAAGCCAACUUCUUUAUUUAUGUAUAUUAAUCUUUAAUUUUAUUGUUUAAUAAAUUAUUCCAUAUAAAUAUAAGUAAUUUAUA
Long non-coding RNA from Ricinus communis (castor bean), 474 nucleotides. RefSeq lists it as uncharacterized. The record is from RefSeq and is a predicted model, not a curated record. Lineage: Eukaryota; Viridiplantae; Streptophyta; Magnoliopsida; Malpighiales; Euphorbiaceae. The transcript is spliced from 2 exons.